CCGAGCGUCCCGGCCCCCUAGGGCUGCGGCCUCACCAUCCUUUGCUUAAACUCUCCUUGCAGGGCCCCUCUAGAGGGCCCUUGGACUCGGCCGCUGGGGCAGACCCCCUCCGGGAAACAGGGGGCGCCCCGCCCUCCGCUCCGGCAGCCGGGCCCGAACCCAAACCUUGAAACGUGUCUUUUUCGGCCCAGCCGAACCAAACA
Molecule: unclassified non-coding RNA, 203 nt
Filed under: soil metagenome
Description: partial internal transcribed spacer 1
Source: RNAcentral